GAUGAACGCUGGCGGCGUGCCUAAUACAUGCAAGUCGAGCGAACGGACGAGAAGCUUACUUCUCUGAUGUUAGCGGCGGACGGGUGAGUAACACGUGGAUAACCUACCUAUAAGACUGGGAUAACUUCGGGAAACCGGAGCUAAUACCGGAUAAUAUUUUGAACCGCAUGGUUCAAAAGUAAAAGACGGUCUUGCUGUCACUUAUAGAUGGAUCCGCGCUGCAUUAGCUAGUUGGUAAGGUAACGGCUUACCAAGGCAACGAUGCAUAGCCGACCUGAGAGGGUGAUCGGCCACACUGGAACUGAGACACGGUCCAGACUCCUACGGGAGGCAGCAGUAGGGAAUCUUCCGCAAUGGGCGAAAGCCUGACGGAGCAACGCCGCGUGAGUGAUGAAGGUCUUCGGAUCGUAAAACUCUGUUAUUAGGGAAGAACAUAUGUGUAAGUAACUGUGCACAUCUUGACGGUACCUAAUCAGAAAGCCGCGGCUAACUACGUG
Molecule: ribosomal RNA, 497 nt
Filed under: uncultured bacterium
Lineage: Bacteria
Description: partial 16S ribosomal RNA
Rfam family: Bacterial small subunit ribosomal RNA
Source: RNAcentral